GUGGGCUUAGGCCAGCAGGAAGUCCGGUGUUGGUGAUGUCUCUGCUGCUGAAAGGCCUGUAGUUGGGGUCUCCGGCCAGGUUCUGCUCGGCCCUUUCCUCAGCGCGGUUCUGCUCACGGCCCGGCCCGGCCCUCUCAGAGCGAGGCUGUCCCGGCGACUCUGCUCGCCGCCAUGCACGACGCCUUCGAGCCGGUGCCGAUCCUAGAAAAGCUGCCUCUGCAGAUCGACUGUCUGGCAGCCUGGGAGGAAUGGCUUCUUGUUGGAACCAAACAAGGACAUCUUCUCCUCUACAGGAUUCGGAAGGAUGUUGUGCCAGCAGCUGCGGCAUCACCUGAAAGUGGCAGCUGCAACAGGUUUGAAGUGACACUAGAGAAAUCCAAUAAGAAUUUCUCCAAAAAGAUUCAGCAGAUCCAUGUGGUUUCCCAGUUUAAGAUUCUAGUCAGCUUGUUAGAAAAUAAUAUUUAUGUCCAUGACCUAUUGACAUUUCAACAAAUCACUACGGUUUCAAAAGCAAAGGGAGCAUCGCUGUUCACAUGUGACCUCCAGCACAGAGAGACUGGAGAGGAGGUGUUGCGGAUGUGUGUCGCUGUGAAAAAGAAGCUGCAGCUCUAUUUCUGGAAGGACAGGGAAUUUCAUGAAUUGCAGGGGGACUUUAGUGUACCAGACGUGCCCAAGUCCAUGGCGUGGUGUGAAAAUUCUAUCUGUGUGGGUUUCAAGAGAGACUACUACCUCAUAAGGGUGGAUGGAAAGGGGUCUAUCAAAGAGCUCUUCCCAACAGGAAAGCAGCUGGAGCCCUUAGUUGCCCCUCUGGCAGAUAGAAAAGUGGCCGUGGGUCAGGAUGAUCUCACCGUGGUGCUCAAUGAGGAGGGGAUCUGCACACAGAAAUGCGCCCUGAACUGGACGGACAUACCAGUGGCCAUGGAGCACCAGCCUCCCUACAUCAUUGCAGUGUUGCCUCGAUAUGUGGAGAUCCGAACACUUGAGCCAAGGCUCCUGGUCCAGAGCAUUGAAUUGCAAAGGCCUCGUUUCAUCACUUCAGGAGGAUCAAACAUUAUCUAUGUGGCCAGCAAUCAUUUUGUUUGGAGACUUAUUCCUGUCCCCAUGGCAACUCAAAUCCAACAGCUGCUCCAGGACAAACAGUUUGAAUUGGCUUUGCAGCUUGCAGAAAUGAAAGAUGAUUCUGACAGUGAGAAGCAGCAGCAGAUCCAUCACAUCAAAAACUUGUAUGCCUUCAACCUCUUCUGCCAGAAGCGUUUUGAUGAGUCCAUGCAGGUCUUUGCUAAGCUCGGCACAGAUCCUACCCAUGUGAUGGGCCUGUACCCGGAUCUGCUGCCCACAGACUACAGGAAGCAGCUGCAGUAUCCUAACCCCCUGCCUGUGCUCUCCGGGGCUGAAUUGGAGAAGGCUCACUUAGCUCUGAUUGACUACCUGACACAGAAACGGAGCCAGUUGGUAAAGAAGCUGAAUGACUCUGAUCACCAGUCUAGCACUUCCCCACUCAUGGAAGGCACUCCCACCAUCAAAUCCAAGAAGAAGCUGCUGCAGAUCAUCGACACCACCCUGCUCAAGUGCUACCUCCAUACUAACGUGGCCCUGGUGGCCCCGCUGCUGCGCCUGGAGAACAAUCACUGCCACAUCGAAGAGAGCGAGCACGUGCUGAAGAAGGCGCAUAAGUACAGUGAGCUCAUCAUCCUGUAUGAGAAGAAGGGGCUCCAUGAGAAAGCCCUGCAGGUGCUGGUGGACCAGUCCAAGAAAGCAAACUCGCCGCUGAAAGGCCACGAGAGGACGGUGCAAUAUCUGCAACAUCUGGGCACAGAAAACCUGCAUUUGAUCUUUUCCUACUCGGUGUGGGUGCUGAGAGACUUCCCAGAGGAUGGCCUGAAGAUAUUCACCGAAGACCUCCCGGAGGUGGAGUCACUGCCCCGGGACCGAGUGCUCGGCUUCCUGGUAGAGAACUUUAAGGGCCUGGCUAUUCCUUAUCUGGAGCACGUCAUCCACGUUUGGGAGGAGACAGGCUCCCGGUUCCACAACUGCCUGAUCCAGCUGUACUGUGAGAAGGUGCAAGGUCUGAUGAAGGAGUACCUCCUGGCCUUCCCUGCAGGCCAAACCCCAGUUCCUGCUGGAGAGGAAGAGGGUGAGCUGGGAGAAUAUCGACGGAAGCUCCUUAUGUUCUUGGAAAUUUCCAGCUACUAUGACCCAGGCCGGCUCAUCUGUGAUUUUCCUUUUGAUGGCCUCUUAGAAGAACGUGCUCUCCUGCUGGGGCGCAUGGGGAAACAUGAACAAGCUCUCUUCAUCUAUGUCCACAUCCUGAAGGACACAAAGAUGGCUGAGGAGUACUGCCACAAGCAUUAUGACCAAAACAGAGAUGGCAACAAAGAGGUGUAUCUGUCCCUGCUCCGGAUGUACCUGUCACCCCCCAGCGUUCACUGUCUGGGGCCCAUCAAGCUGGAACUGCUGGAGCCCCAAGCCAACCUCCAGGCUGCCCUGCAGGUCCUCGAGCUGCACCACAGCAAACUGGACACCACCAAGGCCCUCAACCUCCUGCCAGCGAAUACUCAGAUUAACGAGAUACGCAUCUUCCUGGAAAAGGUCUUGGAAGGAAAUGCGCAAAAGAAACGGUUCAAUCAAGUGCUCAAGAACCUUCUCCAUGCAGAGUUCCUGCGGGUAUGCGCCUGGCAAACCCUCGGGUGGGCUAGUACUCUCUAUUACGAGACAGUUACCACAUAUUCCUCAGGACAAAAGCAGACCUUAACCAAGGUUGAGAACCACUGCAUUAGAGGGAUCUUUGCGGGCAGACCAAGGUACUCCUCCCCAAUCGCUCUGCCCUCCCAGGUGCAGGAAGAGCGGAUUUUACACCAGCAGGUGAAGUGCAUCAUCACGGAGGAGAAGGUGUGCAUGGUGUGUAAGAAGAAGAUUGGGAACAGAAUUAGCCCGAGACUUGUUCUGAAGAGCAUCGUUGCCUCUCAGUAAGCCGGUGCCAAGCCAGGCCGGCGCACGGCCCUAUUCACUCGUGUUUCACGUUGAUGACUUAACAAGAACCUUCAUGUACUCGAACUCCAUGGACCUCAUCCUCUGUUCAGUUAUUGGACAGAGAUGAUGGCUGUGUAAAUCCAGAGACACUGGGACAGGCUGCUCUUUGUGCGCAUUUGCGAGGUACCCCAAUGGAGUGGUGGUGCACUACUUCUGUUCCAAAGAGGUGAACCCGGCGGACACCUGAGCUCAGCGUGCCCAGGACUCAGCAGAUGGACAGCUUGGCCACCCCAGAGAGGGAAGCAGGUGCCGCUGUAGGAGUCAGGGCUGCUGCCACCACAGGUGUCUCCCCGUUUGGACACGUUGGCUACCUUGCGCCCUGGAGCAUCUCUGAAUUAAUCAGACUUGUGGUCUGGUGCCGUCAGCUUUUUAAUAGAAAAAGAUUAGAUAAACGUUGUAAACCAGGAUGCUGCAGGCAGUUCCAGGGAAUUUAACGCCUGCUUGGACUGGAGGAGGUGGUGACGGGCGGGCACUGUCUUGCCUUUGCAUACCAAUCACCUGAGUCAGGAAACUGCCUCCAGCUUCUGCAACCCCAGUGUUCAUUCGGUUUUGUAUCAAGUCGCAUGCAGGACUUCACAAGGAGCCCUUAGCAAGGCCGACGGAGUCCGUGAGAAGAGAGCAAGCCAGAGCUCCUCUGCCUGCCAAGGCCAGAUACUCCUCCUCUAGGUCACGACAGUCACUUCUCCAUGGUCACUGUGCCGUCCCCCCAGGAGGCUCCCACUCCCGCCUCCCUUUUCCCAUGUCCUUUUCUUUUGUGUCUCUCCCCUCACUGCUCCACUCUUUUGCCCACUUUCCCGACACCAGGAAUAACUAAUAUUUAAGCAAGGCAAAGUGAGAAGCAAGGCGAAGUCCACUUUCUAGGGCUACACUGAUACUUGACGGUGAGGUGUAUAGCGACUAGGUCCUCCUCGGACUGUACGCUCGGCCUGGAAGCUGAGCAGAACGUCAUUCUCAGCCUAGGAAGGCCUGUGCACCUCCCUGAGGGCCGAGUGUGGCGGUAGCUCUAGGGAUGGACAGCACUGCACAGGGUGAACGACCUCCUAGGCUGCCAUCGGCAGAGGCUCCUGCUUCUGUUCACCCACCAGCCAUCCAGGCAGGUUAGUUUAGUCUUUGUGAGUGAGCGCUCUGUGCUUGGGCGCCUCUCUUUCCAGCCACUGUGAUCCACUUACAGCAUGGCCCGGCCGCCGUUCUCCAGCCUGGUUUUGCAGAGGUUGGAGGGCUGCACCGGGAUAUCGUAGGCACACAUAGGAAUAACCAGACCAGGCACUGACAGUGACGUGGCGUCAGAUACUUGUGAGGUGCUCGGGGACUGCGCGAGUGCUGCAGACGUCAAGAACUAUCUCACUGCCAGACCCACUGAGCAUUUGUGUGGGGGGAGACCCUGGCUCCCAGAGGCACCAGGAGUGUCUGGCACUGCAGGCGGAGGACACACGGGAGAGGGGUACACCCUGUCCUCCCUGGGGGCUUGCAGUGUCUGAGGGUGAGUGACAGUGCCUGACACUGACCCACUGUGCUGCAGACCGACUUGCUGGUGGUGUAGACUAGGCUUCUCCCAGCACGUGCUCUGCGGAGGGUCUGAAGGAACAGUGAGUGCCUGUGGCACCUUCACAGAGAUGGAGGAUUCUGCCGGGUUUUGGAGGCUGAGCAGCACUUCACAAGAGCCACUGUCCCAACUGGCCAUGCCUGCCCACAGGAAGCAGUGCUGCCUUGGCCGUUCUAGUGAAGACCAGCCUCCUCCAGGAACAGCGGUGACAUUGGCAGGCCUGCCCUCCACUGUGGCAGAGACUGUUCCCACUCCGUGAGCCCUGCCUCCCAGGUCUGCUGUUUCUGUGUCUUCCAUUCCCACUGCCUGUGGGGCACAUCUGUUUGAAGCACUAGAACAAAGAAUGUGUGUUUUCUCUCCUGCUGGAUAUUUAAACGGCCCAGUUUUCCCGGAUUCCAGCCUUCCUUCCCUAGACUGUCUGCGCUCUGCGGUGGUGUGGAAAAGGCUGGCAAUGAAAGCUCUGUAGUGAGGACUGAUGAGGGUCUCGCAUAAUAAACAUCAUAGAGUAACUAA
This is an RNA transcript of Myotis myotis, 5086 nucleotides long. It is a transcript of the gene named VPS39 subunit of HOPS complex, with no coding region annotated. Lineage: Eukaryota; Metazoa; Chordata; Mammalia; Chiroptera; Vespertilionidae. The transcript has 27 exons. The record is from RefSeq and is a predicted model, not a curated record.